GCGAUUCGACAUGAUCUGAUUUAUUUAUUUUUUUGUUGUUUAUUUUAGUUAUUUUUUUAUUUUAUUGAAGAAUCAUUUAUUGUUAUUGUAUUUUUUUGAUUUAAUUUUUAUUACGAUAGUUUAUUUUUACCGUGAGGGGUUAUAUUUAUUAUUUUUGUGGAAGUAGGUUUUGUUUGUCGUACCUUGUGUAUCAGGGUUCAUUGAAUUUUAUUAUUUAUUUUUAUUUCCCGAUUUUAAAGGAGUUAAUGAUUUAUAUUAUUUACUGUUUCAUUAGUAUUAAUAAUAAGUUGUUGGUAGUGAAAUGUUAUUCGUCUUUAGUGGUUUCUGGUUUUUCAAGAAAUGAAUUUAAUUCAUACAUUUUAUUUAAUUUCUGUUUUGUUUCUAUUUAUUUUUAUUUAAUGUUAAGAUUAAGGGGGAUUAGCUCCUUAUUUUAUGAUUAUAAUUGGUUAUUUCAAUUUAGUUUUGUGGAUUUUAUAGUGAUUUUCAAUUUGAUUAUGUUAAAAUUUUAUUUUUUCUUUUGUCUAUUUUGUUUUUAGUUUAAUUUUUUUAUUGGAAUGUUAGCUUUAUUUUUGUUUUGUUUAGUAAUUAUUGUGUAAUUAGUAAAUCUUGCUUUUAUUGUUGUAUUAGGUUAGUUGAUGUUAAUUUCUUUUUAGGAAUUCGGCAAAUUUUUCAUGUCCGCCUGUUUAACAAAAACAUCUUUUCUUGUUAGUUUUUGAAGUAUGGCCUGCCCACUGACUUAUUUGUUGAAGGGCCGCGGUAUUUUGACCGUGCAAAGGUAGCAUAAUCAUUAGUUCUUUAAUUGUGAUCUGGUAUGAAUGGCUUGACGAGACGUGAGCUGUCUUAGAGGUAUUAUUUAUUGAAUUUAGUUUUUGAGUUAAAAUUCUUAAAUGUUUUUAUGGGACGAGAAGACCCUAUAGAGUUUAACAUUUGUUCUUUUUAUUUUUAUUGUUUGUUUCUUGUUUUAGUUGGUAUUAAUGUUUUGUUGGGGUGAUGGGAGGAAUUUUUUUAACUCCUCUUUGUUUUUGUAUAUUGAUUUAUAUUUAUUUUGAUCCAUUUAUUUUGAUUAUAAGAUUAAAUUACCUUAGGGAUAACAGCGUUAUCUUUCCUGAGAGUUCUUAUUGGCGGGAAGGUUUGCGACCUCGAUGUUGGAUUAAGGUUAAUUUUCGGUGCAGGAGCUGAAAGUGAUUAGGUCUGUUCGACCUUUAAAAUCUUACAUGAUCUGAGUUCAGACCGGCGUGAGCCAGGUUGGUUUCUAUCUAUAAUAUUUAUUUAUACCUUAGUACGAGAGGACCGGGUAUUUGAAAUAAUUUUAUUUUAUUUGAUUUUUAUUAAUAUGAUUACUAUUUUGGCAGAUAAGUGCAUUGGAUUUAGAAUCUAUUAA
Molecule: ribosomal RNA, 1381 nt
Filed under: Mirocapritermes sp. 2 TB-2017
Lineage: Eukaryota; Metazoa; Arthropoda; Insecta; Blattodea; Termitidae
Description: 16S ribosomal RNA
Rfam family: Archaeal large subunit ribosomal RNA (bases 894-1262)
Source: RNAcentral